UCUUGGUGGUGUUUUAUUUUGUACACAACCCACAAAACAGAUAAUGACUCAAACAGUCGUCGAAAAUUGAUACACGUGAUGUUUUUUUUCUUGGAAUUUUCUCACCAAUUCUCUGAUACCAUGUGAGAAAUAAUAGAGAAAAAUAUUAUUGAAUUUUUGUCUGCAUAAUUACAUUGUCAUCCUAUUUAUAGACACUACAAUACAAUCCUUUUCGAAGUAGGAUUUUGUAUACUAUUCCUAUUCCUACUCAUAUUCUAACAGUAUCUCUGUUAUUUUCAUCUUUGUUUUAUACUUUUGACAAUUUUAUUUACUAUCCUUUUGUCUUGAGCCGGGGGUCUAUCGGAAACAGCCUCUCUACUUCUUUGGAGGUAGUGGUAUGGACUGCAUACAUUUUACCCUCCCCAGACCCCACUAUGUGGGAAUAUACUGGGUUUGUUGUUGUUGUUGUUGUUGAUUUAAAGUUGUCAUAUGGAAGGGGAGCCUUGGAGCAACUGGUAAAGUUGCUGCCAUGUGACCAGGAGGUCUGGGUUCAAACCUUGGAAACAGCUUCCGACAGAAAUGCAAGGUAAGGCUGCAUAAAAUAGAUCCUUAUGGUCGGGCCCUUCCCUGGACCCUACACAUAGCGGGAACUUUAGUGCACCGGGCUGCUCUUUUUUUUUUUUUUUUAAUUUAAAGUUGUCAUAUCUAGGGAAAACUAAAUUCGUUAGAGAAAUCAAAUCGUUUUUCUGUUUCCUUUUAUUUAUUUUGCUAAAUCUAGAAGAACUAAAGAUGAUACGACAAAUCAGAUCUUUCUCGUCCCCCCGCGCCCCCUCCUCUUGUGAAAUAUCUACUCUUUAUUUUUGUAUUUCACUUUUGAUAUCUUCAAUUUAAAAUUUCUAAAAGUAAAAAGGAACUCAAUUUUUUCAAGUUUCCAUUCAAAUCUUAACUAUGUUCUAAUUCUAUGUUUGUUUUGAUUAAUAAUCUGAGAGUAAUUUUUAAUUGUUAAGAUGGAUCUUAGAUAUAACAUUUUAACUUUAUGCAGUUAAGGUUCUAAUUUUAUUUUGAAUUUCCAUGAAAGAUUGAGAUAUAAUUCUUCCUUAUUAAGUUGAAUUUUGACUUGUAGGAGUAUAAUGUUGAUAAGCUUUUAGUUCCAAGUAAUUUGAUGACUUUAGAGAAUUAUUUCUAAUUUUUGAUUUCCAUGAAAGAGAUUGAUUUACUCUUUUUUUACUUAAAAGAUACAAGUACAUGAUAGAAUUGUGUAGAAAGAACAGUUCUCAAAGAAAAGCUUACAUUGGCAUCAAUAUUCUAUGUCAUUUUAUUGAUAAAUAUUGGAUAUAUACCUAUGUACUGCACUAGAAUUAUAAAGCUAUUGCCUACUAGUAGUAGGACAGAAGGUGGUUAUUUCAGUAAUUUGCCACAUUUGGUUAAUUUUCAGGAGGCUGAGGCAAUUUUGGAGGAAAUCAACCCAACACCAUCACAACUUGUUGGAUAUGGAGUGGUAAGACUUUCUGAAUGUAUGACAUGCAAUUGAAGUCUUAUAAAUUUGUAUUGAUUCAAACAAAACCAUAUAGGUUAUAGUUACAAGCAACAUCUAGGCUUGGUUAGCAAAAAGAAAAAAAUUUCUAUAGGGACUUUAAAAAUUGUCUCAGCGUCCUGUAUUUGUUAUAAACAUUCUGAAACACCAAAAAUGCAAAAGUUGAAUACAAUUAUGCUUUAUCAUCUUGACAGAGUUGCUUUUGUUUUCAAAACUUCUUGAGUUCCUCUCUUUCCAUAUCACCAAAUACAUCCUGGAAUCAUUUUCCAGAUCUUUUUUGGGGCUUUAGAUCCUCCUCUCCUGCUCCAGCUAUUUAGCACAUCCAGUGUAUUGGUGAACAUUGCCCAACUCAAUCCAAUCUUAGCUAGAAAGAUGUCCCACAACUGAGAGGUCACGUUGCAAUGCAAAAAAAGAUGGCUAUUUGUUUUUGCAUAAUCUCUAAAUAGAAGGCAAAUAGAGCAUAGGUGUAUGCCCUUUCUUUGCAUCCUGUCUUGUGUUAAACAAGCUCUCUUUACCACCAACCAUACAAAGCAUGCUACUUUGUAUGGUAUGUUUGCCUUCCUUAGUUGUCUCCAGGGCCAUUGUGUCCUAAGUUGCUUGAACUCUCUAAAAAUGUUGUCACACCCGUGUCGGAUCCUUCAAAAAUACACUGUUUUUGAAGGAUCCGACUCACAUCUGUUGACAUUUUUGAAGAGUCCGAGCAACAUAGAUUGUGUCUAUAUGUUGCUGUAAUUUUUCCAAUGAUAUGCUGACCUUACUGAUAUGCUGACCUUACUGAAUAAACUUUUGUUCUAUCUCCCAACCAACAUAAUCUAUUGUGAUCCAGUGACACUCCAUUGAAUUGGUUAAGACUAUUGAAAAAUGCAAUGAAUCUAUCCAGCUCCUAAUCAUUCAAAUGUUUUCUAAAAGUGAGGUUCCAUCCUUGAUUAUUCCAUACCUCACUAGCUUUUGACCUUUCUUGUUGGUUCAGCGUGUAAACUAAACUUCAGGAUACAAUUGCUUUAAAGGGCCAUUGCUUACCAAUUAUCUUCCCAAAAAGAGAUUCUUUGCCCAUUCUCUAUUUUAUAUUUGAUGUUGAUGCUGAAAAUGUUCCACAAGUUUCUGAUGGUCUUCCAGACACCAACCCCAUACACCGUGCUUUCAACUUUGGUUUUCCAGCCAUCCUUUUCUCCAUAGUUUUCCUUAAUUACUUUCUUCCAUGGUUCUUGAUCUUUAUUUGUGUAUAUCUAGAGCCAUUUCAAACGAAGGCUUUGGUUUUGCUUUCUUAAGUUCCUUAUGCCCAGCCCUCCUUAUUUCUUGUUGAGUGUUAAUAUUUUCCAUUUGACAAGAUGUAUACCCUUCUUCUCUUUGUUGCCUUGCCAUAAGAAGUUGCUUCUCAGUGUGUCCAACUUUUUUUCAACCUGUGGUGGUAUAGGAAAGAGGGGCAUCAUGUAGGCUAAAAAUGAGUAUAAGUCUGCCACCUAAAGAUAGUAUCGACUCUUCCAUCUAGUGAGUUUUUUCUCACAUUUUCAAGCACUACUUUCUAGAUGUCAAUGGAUCUACAACGUGCCCCCAAGGUCAUACCAAGGUAUGUUGUGGGCAAUGUGCCUACUCCUCCUCCUAGGAUAUCUACACAGAGCUGAAAGUUUUGAGGUUCAUUAACCAGAAACAUGAGGCUCUUCCUCUAGUUUAAAUGUAAUUCACAGACUCCUUCUGAUAACGAUCUCAACAGAGUGACUAAAAUCAAUAUCAAAAAUGCAGAAAAUCAACAAUACAAAAUAAAGAUAGUGGAGAAAUAAAAGAUGAGAAUUAGAAGAAAGAAGGCUAAUUAAAUCAAUUAACCAAGGAAGAAGAGAACUUGAUUUCAAUUAGAAUUGAGAAACCCAAUUGGAAUCCACAAAUGAGUAACUCUUGUGAAAAUCAAGGUUAAGAAGUUUUAGAUCAACAACAGGAUUCCACCCAUCACUAAUCACACUAACCCUAUGGCUUCACUAACGGGAUUCCGUCCUGCACUCUCAAAGGAGUUCAAUUUUCCAUUCAUCAAAUUCUAAGGAUGGAAAAUGGAUAUGACAACUAUUUAGAUUUAUUACCUUUACACAAAUAGCCUAUUACAAAAAAUAACCCAAAAGUGGCUAAUUAGGAAAUAACCCACUAGGGCCCUUCUUGAUUGCCAAAUAGCUUCUUGAUCGCUCAUGUACCUGUGUAUUUGUUGCUCCAUAGUAUCCUCGGGUUCCAAGCUAUCAUCCAUAUGUAGAAGCCCCGUCUAAUGAUCCCUAUGCUAACCAUGCUCGUACAUCCUCCCCUUCUUCAAAAGGAUUCAUCCUCGAAUCCGAACCUUGCAAAAACCUAUGAAGGACAAGCAAUGAAGAAAUCCUCAUAGCAUGAGGGUUAGCACAAAGGUUAACACCAAUAUCAUCAUACCAAGGAGGCACAAAUUUGAAAUGCAACUAAGAAUCCUUUGUGUUCUAUAAGAGAAAUGCAUUGUACGAAGUACAAAGGAUCCGACUAUAAGAAAUAUCAUGGAACAAAGAAUCAACAAAGGUCCAAACACAAUUGUUUCCCUAUUCUGCCAUAAAAUCAUACCAAAGGUGGUUCAACAUUGGUUCAAACACCCAUAAGGGUUUACCCAAGUCAAAGAUAUGAAAGACCCGCAUAGUUUGGUCGCAAAAGUAAAUGGACCAACCCAAGAAACCCCUACCUCUAUAUAAAACAAAUCCAAUACAAAAAGGGACAUCAUCAUACGCAAAGAGGUAGUAGAGAAAGGAAACAAAAAUAUGAACCUCAUCCAAGAUCUUAUCAUAUACAAGAGUACCAACUUGCUCAAGAGAUCUAGCAAGCAAAUCACUACAAGUUGGAAUAUCCAAGGAUGGAAUAAUGACUUUUAGGUACACAUUACCCUUUCUUUCAAGACAACUUCCCAUGGGAAGUGAGUUCACAAAUGGAGUCAUGCCCACUAGAGGUGUUGAGGAAUAAUUCAAUCCAAAACCAGUGGUCCUCCCAACAAGUUGUGUUCCCUUUAUUCAUGAUAUUAAGCAUGCUCCUAAGAGUCCCAUUCAAUACUUCAAAUUAUUUAACCCUAUGAAGGUGACAAGAAGUCUUGAACAUCCAUGGAAUCUUCCAAGUCACGACUCACUUGUCAUCUUGACCGAGCAACACAUCAUAAGUGCCUUAUUUCAUUUCAUUAUCGGGGUCAAAUAGAAAGAUAUUCCAUGAAAACGACUUAAGAAAACACCCAUAUGCCCCAUUUGUAUUAUCUUCACACAACAUACUCCACUCAAAGUCAUAAGUAUCAUCAUAUGCAAACAAAUAAUAUGUAAAGGUGCCAUACAAGUCAACUUCAUCUAAUGUAUUCUCAUGAGAAGGUUCGCUCGUUGAUUCAAGUACAUUAAGUCCUUGACUAAGUAUGGGAACACAUAAAGAUGAAGGGAUAAUUAUAGCACAUACCUCACCUUCAUUUUGAACACCAACCCUUCCAAUAAACGUACUAUCAUCUUCCAAGAAAAGAUUUCUGCCAUUUAAAAGUGUGACGUCACACCAUAGUGGAUUUUUUUCAAACAAUUGGUAACCUUCAAGAGUGGCUACACUUUUAACACUAUAAGACACCACUAUGCUCAUCAUUGAAUAAGAGAUUAUCCCUAAGUUCAUAUUCCACCUCAAGAUCCUCGUGACAAGAAUAAAAAAUAGAAUCAAUACCCAAGGAAUCACCACCUUUAAGUAAAGAUCCUACAUGAUUAAUUACAUGAUCAACUAUAUCAUUACCAUCGCUAAAUUGAGGUUCAUUUAUUGCAUCACACAACUCUUUAAUUAGUAGGUCAUAUUUACAAGCAAAUUGGUUAUCACCACAAUUAACACUAGUUGGUAACAUGUUGAGCUUAAAAACAUCUAGCACAUGAUUACCACAAUUGUACACAACUAGUAUUCGACUACCACUAUCACAUGACAAUACACUUUACUCAAGUCAUAAGUGCUAACACUAGGUGGACUCAAAUCAAUCUUAGUAGAAGAAUCAAUCCGGUCAUCUAUAGGAUCAACUAGUGUUUGGACACCGAUAUCAAUGACAUUAUUAUCAUGCAAUAAGGUGCCAUCAUUGACAUCACAAAGAAAAAGCUCCUUAAGCACAUACACAUACAAGCUAUCAUGGCCAACCAGCAUUUGACCAACCCUGUUACAUGACAAUACAUUUUUAUGCAAGUCACAAAUGCUAAGACUAGGUGGACUCAAAUUGAUCAUACUAGAAAAAUCAAUUCGGUCAUCUAUUGGAUCAACUAUUGUUUGGGCACUCACAACAAUGACGUUAUCAUCAUACAACAAAGUGCCAUCAAGAUCAUCACAAGGCAAAAAAUCUUUAAGCUCACACAUAGACAAUCCAUCACUUACACUCAAUUGGCUACUAGCCAAACAAGAAUCUUCUAGUUUUGAGAAAGUGUAAGGUUUAGUUUUGUUACCUUGUAGAUCAUAGAAAGUAUUACAUUCACCUUGCUUUUCAACAUUGAUGCACAUUUGCUCCUUUGGAAAGCUUUCUAGCACCACAUAAUUCUUCAUUGCUCGAGGUGCCUCUCUAGGCUUGUCUCCAAGGAUACCUACACAAGAAUCGAAACAACUAGAAAAGGAAGAGAUGUUACAAAAGCUAGUAUAAGGUUGUGACAACCCUGUCACAUCACUCCACACAAUCUCUCCCUUUUCCACUCUAGAGUUGUCACAUAUGACACCCUUACUCCUCUCAAUCUUUUGUCACUCAAUUUUAUUAGAGUUCGGAUAAGUGCUACAGAUCCCUAGUGAAGGGUUUGGAGAUCCCUUCAACUCUAGCUUCCACUUGGGUGCACGAGGAGCGGAUGUAUUGACUUGCAUGUUCAACUCCUUAGCACCAACCUCAGAAGGAGUAGCUUGUUUUGCCUCCAAAGGCAACUCCUUAGAUUUAGCUUCACAAUGCGUAAUUUGUUUUCUUUGAAAUAUUGACUUGGCCUUUUCAAGUAGUCGAGAGCAAUCAUCCAAUUUUUCAUCCCAUAUUUCAAAUUUUUCAUCCAACUCUUCCCUCAACUCAGUAAUGCUUUUACUUGCAUCGACUUCAUUAGGGCGUGUUGGAGAAAAGAGAAGUUGCCCUUUGAGAUCCAUGAUGUAAUAGUAUCAAUCUUGUGUAUAUGGAAGUCCAUGAAUUUGGAACCAUAGAAUUUCCUAACACAUUUGACAAGCAUCCAAGGGCACUACAUCACACUAAACCUCCUCUUGAUAAUUUCCAAGUGAAAUAUAGAUACCUUAACUCUCAUAUCAACCAAAAAUUUCAUUCGAGUAACAAAUGGGUUUUGUUUUGGAAAGAAAGGCAACCCAAACAUGCUAACCAUUAAGGGGUUAUAGAGUUGAUAACACUAUAAUAAUCCAUCACAACUUCAAGCUCCGCUUUCCCAUAAAUGAUCAUUUUUGUUUCAAGAACCCGUCUUUUCGGAACAUGCAUAUUUUGAAACAUUGAGUUUGCUUUACUCUCAUGGACUAUUAAUCUUUCCCAUCCUAUGUGGAAAACUCAACAAACAAAUUAGUAGAAAAAUUCCUCAUGCCUCUCAUAUGUGGAAACUCUCAACUUUUACCUAAAGUGUCUUUCUGAAGUUGAUAAAGAACUACUAUUGUCCAAUCAAUUCACAAGGUCACUUAUUCUUUGUGGACGAAUGGAAUUUUGUUCAAACAAGAACGGACGACUCCAUUAAAACUUACGGACUUGAGUCAAGAAAAUUAACAAGGAAAUAAAAUGAGAAAAGCACACAAAGAAAAACACAAGGAAAAAAAUCGGGCUCAAAGAACUUGAUAAUAUUUAGAAGGGUGAUUUACUAAUUAAAAUCAAUUUGAAGCUAAAGAAAAGGAAAAAUUAAGAAAAAAAAAACUAAUUUACCCGAUUUAGACUAAAAAAGUUAAUUGGGAAGAAAUUUAAUUGAAAUCCAUGAAGAAAACAGAAAGUGGAGAAAUCUGAAAAAGAGCUAAAAAUUGAGCUGAAAAUCCAUAGCAAAAGGACCUAUGGGGAAGCUUACAAGAAUUGUACCAUGUUCUCCCCUUUGUACUACCUUUUGUCACAGUCUUUGCCAUUUUUGGUCUUUUCCUUUAUACAAACAAGUUCACCUCCUUUUCUUCUCCCCUUUUUGGAUCAAACAACACCUUUUGAAUAAUUCUUCUUCAACAAGACAUGAAUUCACGAAGAACACCAAGAAUAUGGAUGAACAUCAAAAAAUUAUAUCUCCUUCAUUUUAGCUCCAAAUUCUACAAAUUUUGAGAUUUAAGCUCCUAUUGAUAUGGAAAUCAAACCCCAAUACUUUUAGAUCCUCAAUUCCAACGCAAUCAUAUCAAAUUUUUGGACCCAUUUUCUUUUUCUUCAAGCUAUGAAGAACACCAUUAACAAAAUGAACUCCAAAAUUGACAGCUACUUCGUUUUAGCUCAAAUUUGAUGAAAUUCGAGAUUCAAGCUCCCUUUGCUAGAGAAAACAAACCCCGAUGCUUUUCAAGCUCUAAUUUUAAUUCAAAAUUUUCAGAUUUCGGAAGUCAUUUCAAAUUAUAAAGAACACUAUGAAGAUGAUGAACUUCCAAAAUUGACCCUAAUGUAUUUCAACUGCAUUUGCGCUCAAAUUUCAAAUUUGUUCUCUUUUUGAUAGAGAGAACAAAUCCCAAUACAAAUAAACCUUCAAUUCCACCUAGAUCAAGCCCACUUUAUUUUCCUCAAGUUUUUUCAAGCUCAACAAUGGUGAAAAUUAGAAACUCUUUUUAAAUCAGCCCGGAUUAUCAGACCUAGAUCCCUAAACACUAGAAUAACACGAAUCUAGUGAUAGAAGCACAAAUAAAACUCAAAUCGACUAAUUUUUUUUGAAAUUUUCCAAAAAUAUUUGUCACCAAUUUUUUUUUAAAUUUUCAGAUUUAUGAACGUAGGAUUGAGAUCCGUAGAAACGAAUCUCUAACCUAAGCUAUGAUACCAAGAUGAUAACGAUCUCAAUUGAGUGACUAAAAUCAAUAUCGAAAACGCAGAAAAUCAAUUGUUAGAAUAUAAGUAGGAAUAGGAACAAUAUACGAAAUCCUACUUGAAAAAGGAUAGUAAUGUAGUAUCUAUAAAUAGGAUCUCAAUGUAAUAAUUGAUAUACAAUUCAGUAAUAUUCUCUCAUAUUUCUCACAUGGUAUCAGAGCAGGUUUGGUGAGAAAAUUACUGGGAAAAAAACUCAAUAAGACAGCCCGAUACUUCAAUUUUCGGCGACUGUCAAGUCCAAGAGCCCUCGUUUAUUUUAUAAGUGUUGUGUGCAAAAACCAACAUCACCACGAGGUGAGAAACACCCAAGCGAGCAAACCCCAGUGCUCGAAUCUCAUCUCUAGCGAUCCAUGCGGCGCCGAAAUUUUCAGAUGUGCGCCUCACGCACUGCAUGAGCCGGCACAUGCAAUAUAUUUCAGCCAGAUUUAUUUUUCAGUCAGGUCGCCCCUUCAUUCCAAGGCUGUACCGAUAGCUAUUUCUUGAUUCUAGCAAUCAAAUUCAUUUUUUUUCGAUGACUAACCAAUUUUUUUUUUUUUUUUGGGUGACUAACUUUGUCAAUUUAAUCCUAUGAUUAAAUCUGAACCCUUAAUGAGGAGAUCAGAAAAUCAAACAUCACAGUCCAUGAAGAAUCGACGAGGGGGAGGUCGAUUUGAAAGAUCUCGACCUGGGUGUAGUUAUUGUAAAAGGCUUGGGCAUACUUGUGAUUUGUGCUAUUCUCGACCUAAGUGUAGUUAUUGUAAUAAGCUUGGACAUACUCGUAGAAUAUGUUAUUCUUUGCAUGGUCUACCCCCUAAAAAUAUUCAUGUUGCUCAGUCUAACACCGCAAGUGAUCAACAGGUGUAUUUAUCUGACAAGGAAUAUCAUAAGUAUCAAGCAAGUAAGCAUACAUCUCUAUCAAUAGUCUCAACUGCAUAAUCUCCUACCUUUGGAUCAUGGGUUGUGGACUCAGGUGCUUCUGAUCAUAUUUCUGGCAAUAAGUCACUUCUGACUGAUAUUAUUUAUUCAUAGUCCCUUCCAGCUAUUACUUUAGCCAAUGGGAUCCGAACAAAACCAGAAGGAGUUGGACAAGCCAAACCUCUAUCUUCUGUUACUCUAGACUCUGUUCUUUGUCCCUGGUUGCCCUUUUAAUCUUGCAUCUAUUAGUCGUUUGACACAUGCCCUUAAUUGUAGUAUAACUUUUUUGAUGAUUCUUUUCUAAUGCAGGACCGUAGUACGGGACAAACGAUUGACACAGGACAUGAAUCACAAGGCCUUUGCCAUCUUACCUCUUCAAAUUCCUUCACAUCAUGCUCCGUUAUAGACCUUCCAAACUUUAUUCACAAACGUUUAGGACAUCCGAGUCUCUCUAAACUACAGAAGAUGGUGCCUAAUUUGUCUAGUUUAUCCACAUUAGAUUGUGAGUCGUGUCAACUUGGGUAACACACCCGUGCUCCAUUUUCACGUAGUAUUAAGAGUCAUUCAGAGUCUAUUUUCUCAUUAGUUCAUUCUGAUAUUUGGGGUCCUAGUAGAGUUUAUUCAACCUUAGGAUUUCGUUACUUUGUUAGUUUCAUUGAUGAUUUCUCACGAUGCACUUUCCUAAUGAAAGGUAGUUCUGAGUUAUUUUCUAUAUUCAAAAGUUUUUGUGCUGAAAUACUAAAUCAAUUUGGUGUCUCUAUUCGUACUUUUCGUAGUGAUAAUGCCUUAGAAUACGUAUCCUUCCGGUUUCAGGAAUUUAUGACUCACCAAGGAAUUAUUCACCAGAUGUUAUGUCCAUACACCCCUCAGCAGAACGACAUAGAAGAAAGGAAAAAUAGGCAUCUCAUUGACACUGCUUGCACUUAUCUCAUUGAAUCCCAUGUUCCGCUGCGUUUUUAGGGCGAUGCAGUCCUGGCAUCUUGCUAUCUCAUUAAUAGAAUGCCAUCAUCUCCGAUUCAGAAUCAGGUUCCCCAUUCCAUACUAUUUCCUCAGUCACGUCUCUACUCUAUCCCCCCUUAUGCUUUGGGAGCACGUGUUUUGUUCAUAACUUAGCUCCAGGGAAAGAUAAAUUAGCCCCUCGUGCUCUCAAAUGUGUCUUCCUUGGUUACUCUCGAGUUCAAAAAAGGUAUCGAUGUUAUUCACCUGAUUUGGGUCGCUACCUUAUGUCCGCCGAUGUCAUAUUCUUCGAGUCUCAACUUUACUAUACAUCUUCUGAUCAUCUUGAUAUAUCUGCAGUCUUACCCAUACCUUCCGUCUUAUCCACACCAACCUUUGAGGAAUCUGCAGUUACUUCUAUUUCUCCAGCUGCAGUGCCACCACUUUUGAUUUAUCAUUGCCGCCCGCAUCCAUCAUUAGUUCUAGACGAUUCAUGUCCUGCGCUUGAAGCUUCCCCUAUUGCGGACUUGCCUCUUCCUAGCCAAUCAGUUGCACUUCAAAAAGGUAUAAGAUCCACUCAUAAUGCUAACCCACAUUAUACUUUCUUGAGUUAUCAUCGUCUAUGAUAACCCUAUUAUGCUUUUUAUCAUCUUUGCCCUCUAUUUCUAUCCCUAAGACUACAGGUGAAGCACUUUCCUAUCCAUGUUGGAAACAGGCUAUGAUUGAUGAGAUGUCUGCUUUACAUACGAGUGGUACUUGGGAGCUUGUUCCCCUUUCUGCAGGUAAAUCUACUGUUGGUUGCCGUUGGGUUUAUGCAGUCAAAGUUGGUCCAGAUGGUUAGGUUGAUUAGCUUAAGGCUCGCUUUGUUGCCAAAGGAUAUACACAGAUAUUUGGGCUUGAUUAUAAUGAUACUUUCUCUCCUGUGGCUAAAAUAGCAUCUGUCUGUCUCUUUCUAUUUAUGGCUGCCGUUCGUCAUUGGCCCCUUUAUCAGUUGGACAUUAAGAAUGUUUUUCUGCAUGGUGAUCUUGAGGAGGAAGUCUAUAUGGAGCAACCACCUGGUUUUGUUGCUCAGGGGAAGUCUAGUAGCCUUGCAUGUCGAUUGCGCAAGUCACUCUAUGGUUUGAAACAGUCCUCUCAUGCCUGGUUCGGGAAGUUUAGUACAGUAAUUCAGGAGUUCGGCAUGAUUUGUAGUAAAGCUGAUCAUUCAGUAUUUUAUCUCCAUUAUGAACCAAAUUUGUGUAUUUAUUAGUUGUUUAUGUUGACAAAAUUUUUAUCACUGGCAAUGAUCAAGAUGGUAUCACUAAUUUGAAGCAACAUCUUUUCAGCAUUUCCAGACCAAAGACCUCGGCAGACUGAAAUACUUUCUGGGUAUUGAAGUUGCUCAGUCCAGACCAAGCAUUGUUAUUUCUCAAUGUAAGUAUGUCUUAGACAUUCUUGAGGAGACAGGAAUGAUGGGAUGUAGACCCAUUGACAUUCCUAUGGAUCCAAAUGCUAAACUUCUACCAGGACAGGGGAGCUACUCAGUGAUCCUGAAAGGUAUAGGCGGUUGGUUGGCAAGUUGAAUUAUCUUACAGUGACUAGACCUGGCAUCUCUUUUCCAGUGAGCGUUGUAAGUCAGUUUAUGACCUCCCCAUGUGAUUGUCAUUGGGACACAGUUGUUCGUAUUUUGCGAUAUAUAAAGUCGUCUCCAGGCAAAGGACUACUCUUCAAAGAUCGAGGCCAUGAGCAUAUUAUUAGAUAUACAGAUGCUGAUUGGGCAGGAUCACCCUUUGGUAGACGUUCCACAUCCGGGUUUUAGUAGGAGGUAAUUUGGUGUCCUGGAAGAGUAAGAAACAGAGUGUAGUUGCUUGAUCUAGCGCGGAAGCAGAAUAUCGAGCAAUGACUGCAGCAACUUGUGAACUGAUUUGGAUCAAACAGUUGCUAAGAGAAAUAAAAUUUGGAGAAACCGGUAAGAUAGAACUCGUAUGUGAUAAUCAAGCAGCCCUUAUAUUGCAUCUAAUCCAGUGUUCCAUGAGAGAACUAAGCAUAUAGAGAUCGAUUGUCAGUUUGUCAGAGAAAAGAUACUUUUCGGAGAUAUUGUUACAAAAUUUGUAAAGUCAAGUGAUCAACUGGCAGAUAUUUUUACCAAGUCACUCACUAGUCCUCGUAUUGAUUACAUUUGUAACAAGCUAGGUACAUAUGACUUGUAUGCACUAGCUUGAGGUGGGUGUUAGAAUAUGAGUAGGAAUAGGAACACUAUACGAAAUCCUACUUGGAAAAGGAUAGUAAUGUAGUAUCUAUAAAUAGGAUCUUAAUGUAAUAAUUUAGAUACACAAUUUAAUAAUAUUUUCUCUCAUAUUUCUCACAUCAACAAAACAAAAUAAAGAUAGUGGCGAAAUAAGAGAUGAGAAUUAGAAGAAAGAAGGGCUAAUUGAAUCAAUUAACCAAGGAAGAAGAGAACUUGAUUUUAAUUAGGAUAGAGAAAGCUGAUUCGAAUCCACAAAUGAGUAACUCGUGUGAAAUUCAAGGUUAAGAAGUUUUAGAUCAACAAUGGAAAUCCAUCUAUCACUAAUCAAACUAACACAAUGGCUACACUAACAGGAUUCCAUCCUACGCUCUCAAAGGAUUUCAAUUUUCCAUUCAUCAAAUUCUAAGGAUGAAAAAUGGCUAUUUAUACUUAUUACCUUUACACAAAUAGCCUGUUACAAAAAAUAGCCCAAAAGUGGCUAAUUAGGAAAUAACCCACAAGGGCCCUUCGUGAUUGUCAGAUGGCAUCUUGAUCGCUCAUGGCCUUGUGUAUUUGUCGCUCCAUAGCAUCUUUCAGGCUUCAAGCUAUCAUUCAUAUGUAGAAGCCCCUUCUAAUGUUCCACAUGCUAACCGUGCUCAUAUCACCUUCAAAGAUCUUCAUCUUCUCAGCUCUACAUCAGAAAGGAUAAUUGCAUCAUCUGAGUGUAAAAAUAGAUGAUUUCAAGAUUGUCCCCUUGUUUGUUGCUGACUUUAAAACCUCUGAGCCAAUUUUUCCUAUGAGUUGUGAGCAAUAUGUUGUUUAAACCCUCCAUGAUAAUCAGGAAAAGGAAAGGUGAAAGGGGAUCACCUUGCCGUAAUCUCCUACUUGAAGUGAAAAAGCCUUCAAGUGCACCAUUGAUCAAAAUUGAAAAUUUAAUGGUGCUAAUACAAAAUCAAAUCCAUUUCACCCAUUUAAUGCCAAAACCCAUUCUCUUCAGCAUGUUAAGCCGAAAGCUCCAGUUCACAUGAUCAAAAACUUUUUCUAUGUCUAACUUACUUGGAAUACCAGCUUUACCGUGUUUCAUUCUAGAGUCCAAGACAUUCAUUAUCAAUCAGGGUAGCAUCCAUGAUUUGCCUACCCUUGAUGAAAGCCAUCAACAGUUUGUGCAUAAUUGUCUUCAACCUUCUUGUGAGUAGCUUGGAUACAACAACAACAACAAAAAACCCAGUGUAUUCCCACAAAGUGGGGUCUGGGGAGAGUAAAGUGUACGCAAUCCAUACCGUUACCUCCAAAGAAGUAGAGAGGUUGUUUCCGAUAGACCCCCGGCUCAAGAAUGUGAGUAGCUUGGAUAUGAUUUUAUAGUCACUACCUGUCAAACUGAUAGGUCUGUAAUCUCUCACCCCCUUUGCAUCACUUCUUUUGGGGAUCAAUGCUAUAUAUGUGGCGUUGAAGCUUUUUUCAAAGAAAUCCUGAUUGUGGAAAUUGUGUAUUGCCAACAUGAUAUCCCUUUGAUUAUGUCCCAGCAGAGAAUGUAGAAACCCAUAUUAAAACCAUCUGGUUCUGGAGCUUUGUCCACAGCACAACGCUUUAUACACUCAAAUACCUCUUCUUCUUCAAAGGGUCUCUGUAUCCAAUCCUUUUCUUGAUCAGAUAUCAUAGGGCCUGCAAUCUGGUUGAAUUCUGGUCUCCAGUUUUCUGAUUUUGAGUAAAGCUGCUCAUAAACCUUGAUUAUUUCUGCUUUGAUAACCCUUUACUCGUUUGUUUCAACUCUUCCCACUACUGGAUGAUCAAUGUUGUUUUGCAUAUCAACCAGAAGCUCUAAUUAUGUGUUUCGCUACAAAGCCCAUCCAAUCAUCUACGUAAGUAGGAAGUUCUUGUACGCACUCAAAAAACUAGGGGAGGUCAUUUUAUCCGAAUGAUUGAUUUCUCUUUACCUUGUAAUGCUCAGUACUUCCUUUUUCCCGUAUGAUCCAUGAAACUUUGGUGGUGAUUCCAAUUCUCUAACUGCUUAUCCUUCUACUUCCCAUGUUUCCAGCUCCACAUGGGUCUCAACAAACUAGAGAGGUCAUUUUAUCUGAAUGAUUGAUUUCUCUUUACCUUGUAAUGCUCAGUACUUCCUUUUUCCCAUACGAUCCAUGAAACUUUGGUGGUGAUUCCCAUUCUCUAACUCCUUAGCCUUCUACUUCCCAUGUUUCCAGCUCCACAUGGGUUAUUCUUCAUUACUGGGCAUAUUCCAGAUGAUGCCAAACAGGUUUAACUCAGGUUCCUCAUUUGUGUUUCUACAUGGCUAUAAAGCAAAUGUUUCACAUUCUCCCAUUUCCUAUAUGUUGAUUCUUAGGAUGCACAUCUGGAGAAGUGUGUUUAUGGAGCCAAACUUAAACCAAGUUAAGGUGUCCAGAUGUGCAUUUUCAAAGUUGGGGUGUCUAGUUGCCAGUUGAGGCGAAGCUAAGGUGUCUAUCUAUGUAUUAUGCCAAGUUUAAAGCUUAUGAAUAAUGAAAUAGAUAUGGCGUGCUUUUUUUUUCGUUCAUGUUUACCAAGCCUUAUCCCUAUCUUUAGUGAUGCAGGAUUUUACACUGUUUUGGUUAACUUUAUGACACUUGAGAUGUUGUUUGCUUGCUUCACUAACUUAUGCGAUGCACUCUUGGCAGGGUUUGGUAGCAGCAGCAUAUGCAUUGGUUGGUGAGUCUGCAAUUUCUGCCAGAUAUUCUGAUAAUAUAUUCUCCAUAGUUGUGAUUUUUGGAUUUGCUUAUUCAACAAUAAUGUUUAUUAGAAGAACACAGGCAAUUAUGAAGUUCCUCUCGACAUUCAAGUUGGAAGAAAUUUUCCGUCUGUUAGACAAUUGGCAAUUUCAUUUUCCAGCUUAUUCUCUUUUUCUGUUUUCUUAAACUUAGUUUAAGUUUACCCUUAGUAAGGGUGGCAAUGGAACCGGAAUUUUCCGGUCCGGUUACUCCGAUUCCGGUGACAUUCUGGUACCGGUAACACAACGGUACUGGUUGCAACCGGUAUACUGGUACCCAAUGGUCCGGAAUACGGUACUGGUGCGUCUAUCAAAAAAAUUCCGGUUCUGGUCCGGCGACAGUGAAGACCGUUGUAAUUUUUUUUUAUUUUUUUUUAAUUUCAUUUGGCAGCAACGGCUCUUUUGGUCGUUUCCCCCCCACCCCCACCCACACACACGCAAAAUUAAAAUUUUCACUAUAAAUACCCUUUUAUAUUUAUUCUUUUUCCUCACAAAUAUUCUCAAUUUCUCAUACUCUCUCUAAAUAUUCAUAGUUAUUGUAUUAGUUGGAGUUGAAGAUUUUUUGAAGCUAUUACAAGCUUCAAUUAUCAUCUUUUAAUUCUGACAUUUGGUAUACGUCUGCUUUACGCAGAAGUUCGGUAUAUUCGUUCCAACUUAAUCUCUUUUUUAUUUACUUUAAUAUCUAUAUUUUUAUUUUUUAGUAUCUACAUUUGUUUACUUACAUUAAUUUUUCGAUUUAUAAUAUUAUAUUGCUUGUUUUAAUAUUUUAAUUUUAUUUAAAUUUAAUUAUGGAUUCCCAUAAAAAUAGUAGUGGUAAAAAACCAAUUUUUGGUAAGAUUUUUCGUAGAAAUAAAAAAAAUAAGGCUACUACUAGUUCAUUACCGCUUAGAUUUAGUGAAACUUCUUUAUCACAGCCUAAUGGUUUUGAUGUUGGUAUCGGUAUGGAAUUAGACCAUGAGACCCUAAGUAGGCGUUAUGAUAAUUUUAAGGAAGACUUACAGGAAGAAGAUAUAGAAGAACAAGAGUUAGGUGAUACCCCUACCUCUACUAGUUCGGUUACGGAAUUACUGGAAGACGGUGAAGAACUUUCCCCUUUACCGGAAUUUACUAGGGCCAAAGGUACUGAACAUUCUAAAAGGUCUUUAGUUUGGAAAUUUAUGAAGCAUGAUAAGGCAAAAAGUACUGCUACUUGCAAUAAAUGCAUGAGAGUUUUUAAACAUUUUGAAGAAGUUCAGAAUGGAAAAUUGCGCAUUUGACAACUACUUUGAUGUGUCAAAAGGAGAAACAACAACAACAACAACAACAAACCCAGUGUAUUCCCACUUAGUGGGGACGUGUCAAAAGGAGAAGUUGAGCAUAAAUGAUGAAGCUGAAAAAGUGGAUGACAUGUAUCUUACAACAACUAGAUCUGACAUUUUAUAUGUUGUAAGUCUUCUAUCUAGAUUCACUAAUUGUGCAAUUAACACUCAUUUUAGAGCAGCGAAUAGGGUGAUAAGAUAUGUUAAGGGAACACUGAAUUUUGGAAUCAAGUUCAAUGCAAAUCAAAAGCACGUGUUGCAUGGGUAUUUUGAUAGUUACUGGGGUGGUUCUUCUGAAGAAAUAAAGAGCACUUCUGAUUAUUGUUUUAAUCUUAGUUCAGGUGUAUUUUCUUGGUGCUCUAAAAACAAGAAGUUGUUGCACAGUCGACGGCUGAAGCUGAGUUCAUUGCAACAACAACUGCUGCAAAUCAAGCCUUAUGGCUUAGAAAAGUGCAACUUGAUCUGAAUUUAAAGCAAGAAAAGUGCACAAAAAUGUUUGUGGAUAACCAAGUAGCUAUUGCUAUCUCAAAUAAUCCUGUUUUUCAUGCAAAUUUCAAUAUCAAAUUAUUCUUUCUCAGAGACGUGCAGAAAGAAGGAUCGAUUGGGUUAAAGUACUGCAAGACGCAUCUUCAACUGACAGAUAUGUUUACUGAAGCCUUGCCAAAGAGCAGAUUUGAAUUUCUUAAAGAAAGUCUUGGAAUUUGCAGCAACUGAAGCAAGGAGGAGUGUUGAUUAAUUGCCUCAGUUACUGCAGUAAAAAUUGGAGCAGUUACUAGAUGUUAUCCAACUUUUUUAGCCAUGUUCUGUUAACUUAGUUUAGUUGUUGUUUCUUUUUUGGGUUGAUCAUAUGUGUUGGAAAAUUGGCGGAGGAGUACUCUCUAUAUGUCAUUUUCUAUUGAAGACAGGUGGAGGAAAUCAUUUUUCUUUACUUCACUCAACUUGCUUUCAUAAAAUGGCUAUAGUACCUAGGUAUUUAUAGAACUUUUCUAGCAUGUACCUAGACUAGUACAUUUACUUUAAUUUAAUUCUAUUUUUUUUUCUUUUCUUCCGGUUCAUGACCAAAACAGUACAUGUAUCCCAAGAGUAAUACAAUUAGCUUUUAAUUCAUGAACUAAGAUAAUUAUGAAUCACAAAAAUCUAAGAAAACAUUUUCUUUUCCAACCCAACGUUCAAUUUUCAAUAGUAUGCUGGAGGACAAGGCUGUGCAGACCACUUUUUCAUAUGGGAACUUUAGGCUUCAAUAUAUUCGGGCAGCUUGUUUGAUCUCUAAAAUUAGUGAUAAAACAAGAUGUUCUGUUAUCAGAUUCUGUUUCAAAUCUCCAAACUAAUUUGGCCUAGUCAUAUGAAGUGCAGUCUCUCCAACAGUUUAUCUGGUUUUUAUUGAAAUGUAGGUUUUCAUGUCCUCAUAAAUGUUGUCUAUAGCUUACCUUGUGCACUUCCCUCAUUGAGCUUUUAAUUCUCUUAGUUUUACAAGGAGGCAAAGGAGUGCCUUCUAUUCUGUUUAAUCAUUGCGAGUGCAUCACUGGAUGCUUGUUCUCCUGAUGGAAGACACUAAGAUUUUUUCCUUUUAAUUGUCUAGAGUGGGAGAAGACACUACAAUAUGUUGGAGUUUUCGGCCUAUGUCAGGUAAUUCUUCUAGUUUGGAGAGAGAAUUUCCUAUGUCCGAACACUAACAACUAACUGAAAUGAGUGAACAAACUUUUUUCAUAUUGGAUUCUGUUGUUGGAAAGCCAAACGAAGAUUUCAUGAUUAUUUUUCAAAAUUUCAUUGCUAAAAGCUUGUUAUUUGUUGGAUGUUAAGCUGAUACUUGAAUUCCUAAAUUCUGGAUUUAUUUUGGUUUUUAGACUUUAUACCGUCGAAUUACUUCUUAUGAGGAUUCAGAAGAUUUGAAACAGGAUGUGAGGUAACAGCCCUUUCCAUGAACUUGAAUUGCUGUCAAGUGUGUAUGUCUUUUACAGUGUUUAUUUAUUUUUGUCCUUUGAACCACAGUCCUAAAGUUUUGCUAAGGUGGAAUAAAGGUUAAAAGAAUACAAAGUGAAAUAACUAAUGCACCCAUUGUAUAUCGUAUAUGGGUUAUUAAUGAAAUGAAUUCUUGUUGUAAAUGUGAUACUACUUUGGCAACUCAAUCACAUUGAGCUUUUCAUUAAAUACUUACGUCUUGAUUAAAAUGAAAAGUUAUUAGGAAUUUACUUGAAAGGAGAAGCAACUCUUCAAUCUAUAUGCACAUGACAAACAUAGGAAUUUACUUGAAAGGAGAAACAACUCUUCCAUCUAUAUGCUAUGACAAAUAAACACAGUAGAUGUCGGUUCCAUUUGUGAACUUGUACAAUGAGACAGUUCCAUUCUUAUAUCUUAUGCAUUAACAUGGCAGAAAUGAUGAUAACUCAAACAUAGCCCGUACUAGGAUGAGAUCAUAUCAGAUCUUGACAGAUCAGACGUCUUAUCAGUUACCAUCAUGGUUUCCUCCCAGAUCUGUUUUUUUAUCGCGGCAUACUGUUGAACACAAGUUUUUGGCCAAAAAUACUACAUCAAACUUAAACUACAUCCGUGUAAUACCACCAUGAGCAAAAUCCAUACUUCCGUUACUUUUCUUGACAAAAACUAAUAGUUUUGACUAAAGAAGCGCCUAUGCAUGUGACUUCCCUACAAAUGACCUUUUUCAGUUACUUUGUCUUCUCCCCCUUUGUCUUCAACAUCCAGCAAAAAAUACAUAUAUUUUGUCUAAACAAUGAUGAUUCAUAGGUGAUUCAACUGCAUGUUAAAAUGAUCAAGUGUGAUUUGGUUGCAUGAAUAAGAGUUUGUAGAUCCGCUAAGGACCUUAACUUCAAUAAGGCUUUGAGCAUGUUAGAUUUAGACGGCGGAGUAGUGUGGGAGCUGCUACCUACCAGGGUUUGAUUAAAAAUUCAAAAUAGUAUGCCAGUGCAAGGAGGAGCCUUAUCUUAAUAUCCUUACUUAAGCUCCACCAUUAUAAUGCUGCCGCAUGGAAUUAGAAGCUAAGCUAGUUUCUGUGCAUUCUUGUGACUGCCCGAAACAAGAGCAAUGCAACUGAAGUUAAGCUGAUUUUCUUUGUAUAAUUUUCAGCUCUAGUAUCAUACCCUAUUCUCCAAUUUUCAAUUAGCCUCAUCCCUCUUUCUCUUCCAAGUCGAACACACUCAUGGCCGAGCUCAUGCAGAGAAGAAAACGAUCAUUCUGUUAGUUUUUUAAACAGAGUUUGAUGGUAAGAUGAAACAUGUUAAAUUUUAGAUAUUUCAAGGAUGUGUUUUGUUCACCAUGGUAGUACAAGAAUGUAUUUUAAGUUUGAAGCAUAGUUGAAGGAUGUUUUUUUGCCAAAAACUCAUUGGACGCCAUUACAUUGUUAGAAUUUGUACAUGCUUGUGAUACGAGAUAUUUACUAUGUUGUAACUGCAAAUUGUUGCUGUGAUGGUAUUAAACGGAUGCUUACGGUGUUAACUUUUCCAGACAACUUUUGGUCCCAAUGACAUGGGCAGUUGGCAAGUUGGAGACAAACCGUAAUCGUAAUGGACUACCAACUUCACCUUCUUCAACUGACGUUCAAAACAGGGUGUUGCAAGCUGCUGCUAAGCAUCAAUCACAACCAGAUAGCGAAGAGAUUCAAGAUCCGUCCCCUGAAACUAUGCUUUCCGUCAAUGAAAACAUCGAUAUUUCUGAAGCAUAGAAUAUUUAAGUGUUUUGCAGCUAACUGUAAUAGUCCAACUGAAUGACAUUUCAUAUUGCUGGAAUCCAUUUUGUAGAUUCAGGUAAGACACUCAGAUUAUCAACAACACAAAUACCACCAUAAAUACCACCAUAAAAUUUGUAUAGUCAAAACCUUGAGAUUCUUCUUUUUUGUAAUGAAUAAGUAAAAAUUGCAUGCAUACAUUGGGUACCAUGUUAUACAUUCGUUGGAUAUUCCAUAGAAAAACUUAUAAGCACUAUGUUACGAAUUUAGCAAAACACUUCCCCCAAUCUGGUGCAGUUUAUCUUGUGUUUGAGAUAAAACAAAACACGCCCACCAUGAUAACUCAUGUUCCACUGAAUGUUUGAGGAGUUACCUUGACUAUUCCCUUUUCUAUGUUAUCGCCUUUAGGUCACAUCUUUAUUGUCUAGGCAAAAACUAAUUAUAAAUAAACGAUGUGUUAACAUGCCCAAAUGAUAGCCCAAGAAAGAUCUUUAAACAAAAGUAGUUUUGCUAAUACCGUGAUGUGGUAGAACACAUUGUAGGUUUGAUAUACAACAGAAUCGACAUCCUUACAAAGAGACAUUAUACAAAUUUCCAUGAGGAAGGAUUCUAUCACGUAUGCCAUUUUAGAGAAACCCAUCAGAAAAUUUGUCCAGUCCAUUACCCUAGUAUACAAACUGAGGCAAAAAAUUGGUUAAUUGUAUCAUUCUAUGGUUCCUGAACCAAAAUGCCACGAGGAGUGCUCGCUCUUUCAUCUUCAUCCGCAGCUCAUUUAUUUGAACAAGCGACUUGAGAUGAGACUGACAAAAUACCUGACAGCAUCUUGCAUUAUCAGUGAUGCACGAGAAAUUCAGCUUGGCUGGAAGGAUUUUGCCAUUGCCAUAUUUCAUUCCUUGUCAGCUAUUACAACAAAAACAUCCUUAACUGACCAUUUUCUUCUCUCUGUUUUUGCCGGCGGAUUGAUGACUGCUUUUUCGGUAUUAGCAAGACGGUAACCAAUCACAAUCUCUCUCCUUUGUCGUGCACGCAGGAGCACUUCAUAAAAACUCAACUCCUCACCCUCACAAAGGUAUACCUUUGCUCCUCUUAUUUGCAUCUCAUUUCCCUGCAAUGUAAGAAGGUUUAAUUAGUCGUGAACAAUCACAAUAAUAACUACAGCCUUAACGGACGUUGCAGGAUGCUACCAAGAUACGCAAGGAUUCUUAGCUUCAGCAUCUACUGAAGCAUUCAAUACUGUCAAAUUAUAAAAUUGAGACGCAAGCGAUACAACUUCACCUCAAAGUUUCAAAAACGAGGAAUGAGUCCUAACUGAUCUUUACUGAUUAAAAGUUCGAUAACAUGAGAGUCAAUGUAGUGAAAGUUUCACAUGGUACUUUAUAGAUUUGGUGUUUGCUUCAACUUGGAUUCAGAUCCUUUUCCAUUUCUUUUCAUUUAGGUGUAAACUCUAUAUGUGCUGCCCUGUUUUCAAUCAGUGCACUAUAAAAGGAUCGGACUAAUAGCCUAAAAUAAGUCUGAAAGCCUUGGGACCCAAACCAAAGGUCCCCUAGCCUAAAGUCGACGUUCCGGUGCUGAUGGAACUGCCUCAUUCUUCCUAAUUCGAUGGUUAAUACAGUUUUGGGUUAGCUAGUUCUGCUUCUGUCAUGAAAAGAGAAAAUGGCUCUCGAAUAUAGUCAUUACUCCUUUUUUUAUUGUUCAGUCUCAUAUUGAUACGAGAAUAAUCACGGAUAUGGAUUUAUGAGAGUGUGUGUUGGACCCGAGCCUUGGUGUGUGCAAUUGAAAUGUAAAAGAGGCCCAAAAUGCACCAAAAUCAAUCCAUAACUUACACUUGAUGAGUGCCCCUUUUGGUCAUUUUAACUUAUAUUUUGUAAUAGCUAUAUAAGGAACAUUGUAGGACUUUUAGACUUAGUUUUUGGAUAUUAUUGUAAGGCAUAAGACACAAGGAACAUCAAGUCCUCUCUCUAAAGAGGCUUGGCCAAAACUAGGGCAAGAACUAGUAUGGAAUCACUAGUGAUUGUAUUUUGCUUGGAAACGUAGAUACUAGAGAGGUGGAAUCUGAUCUUGUGUCACGUAAGAGAUAGGUGAAUCAUUGUGUAUGGUGUUAAGGGUCCAAGAGUGGAAUAGGCUCUUGGGUUCUUAAGAUUAUAACUUUGCGUAGUCUAUCUAUCCAUCCUUUGUUUUCAUUGUAAUUUUGUAGUUUGUGUUCUCGUUAUUCAAGCCGUAUUGUGGUGUUGUUCCUCAUAUUGUUAGUGCUCAUCCUUGUUAUUCAUAUUGUUGUUGUUAAUAUAGUUUGGGUGACUGAUUUGGUGUUCAAGACACUUUGUUAUUCUUGUCUUAUUGUUGUUCUUGUUGUUUGUUGUUGAAGCCAAGACUUGGUCUCAAGUGUGCUCUCGGUUUCUCCUUCAUUUGUGGAUUGUUUUGAGACCGUUUCUUGUGUUUCCGAGUUUUUAUCAUAUCAUUUGGUAUCAGAGCAUGGCUUGAUCUUGUUCCUAUAAGAUCAAUCUUGGGCUUGCUUGCUAGAAAAAAUUCAAAAAAAAAAAACUAGAUUUGGUGUUCUUGUUGUUCUUAGUCGAGAAAGUUGUUCUUGUUGUUCAUCUUGACCGAGAUUGUUUGUAAGUCUAGAUCUUGGUGUCUUUUGUUUUGUUUAGUUGUUCUAAGUGUUGGUUUUUCUUGUUCACUAGCACUUUGAGUCUAGAUCUAAACUUGAGCUUGAACUUAUUGAAGUGUUGUUGUGAACAAAGGUGGCCGUGUGUUGAUCUUAUUGUGAACUUGAACUUGGCCGCCCCUUGUUGAACCUUGUUGUUGUGUUUUUUUCACUUUGGCCGUGUGUUGUUAGUGUUUUUCUAAGCUUGGCAUUGUAUUGUUGUUGAGGAUUGGUGGCCUAAGGACAAUCUUGUUGAAGUUUUGUAGUCUUGGCCGUGUGGUUGUGUUGUAGAUCUUGGUGAUUGUUGUUGAAUUUUCUUGAUGAUUGUUGAAGUGUUCUUGAUGUUCUUUCCAACCUUCAUACCUUGCUAAAAUAAAGUAAAAGUUAGAUCCAAAAAGGUGAAAGAAAAGGUGUGAGAACUUUGUUAGUCUUGAAAGACUUACCAUCACUCACCAACUAGUCAAUCACAGCUCAACCACUUUCCAUAAAACAAGGGUCCAUAUUUUAAGGAGAAGUACAAAGAAUUCAAGUCUUCCUUUUUUGAAAUUUGAAAAAGAAUUCCAAGACUUAUAUUUCCCUCCUUAACCAAUUCCCACUAAUUCCAAAUUAUAAAAUUGAUCAAGACUUCCAAGUUUGGAAAAUAAAAUUGGUAAGGACCGAGGCCAAUCACGGACUGCCAUGUCACUAAUUACUGUUCAUAGAUAAAUUUUAAGCUCAAAUUUGGAUCUUUUAGUCUCAUUUUGUGUCUUUAGUUUCGUUUGUUGAUUCCAAAUCUAACUUAAAAGCUAGUACUAGAUUGUAAGUUAGUUUUGAAGUCGUUCUUCGUGUAAACCUUCUUUUGUGUGUCUUAAUUCUUUUGUGUCAUUGUAAUACGUUCUUGUGUGUUUUCCUUACUCUUUGGAGUCCUAGUAAACGUUGGAUUCACCUCUCAAUACCUCUUGGAGUACAUGCAAACUUACAACACUUAUGAAAUUGAGAGUGACGGAUUCGAGAGACACGAAAUAAAAAGAGAGAAUGAGGAUAUUUUGUACAACUAACAUGUUUUCUGUUUUGUAGGUAUCUCCUUGGCUAUAGUGGACACCAUUUUGGCCCACCUUGAUGCUAUUGCCCGAGAAAUAGCUAAGGCGAAUGCAAAAAUUGGGCUCGGAUAUGUCUACUAUACUUAAGAGGGUGGAUCGAGUGGAGAGUCGAAGAAAUUCCUGUGUUUCUACUUCCGAAACUUUACCUCAAACAAUCAAUCCUCCAAGACCACCACCAAAUGACACAAACAUAAGCCAAGCCACCAAAUGUCUUCCAACCAGAGACCUAAGUAGGUCACUUCUUCAACAAUUCGAUCAAGUCCAACUAGAACUUGGAAGCCAAUCUCCUCCCAUCCAAGCUCCACAACAGAAGCUCCACAUUACCAAAUCAAUCCUUUCAUCCGAAACUCCGCUUCACUUAAACUGAUAUGUCCAUAUAGAGGAGUGUGGUAGAAAGAAACAUGAGGGACAUGGAGUCUACAAUGAUGCACAUAUGAUGGAGGAGAAGUUGAUGGGAAGACGAAAGAAACCACAAGGAAUCCGCCACCAAGAAAAGAGGUGGGAUGUGUUUAGUGUUUCCUUUGUUAUUCACUAUGUGUUUCGGAUGAGGAUGAAGACAAGGCUCAAGAUGGAGAGGAAGCCGACGUUCAAAAAUAAGAUGUUGGUCGAGACUUGUUGUUAUUGAGCCCUCAGAUUCUUCAUGUUUUUGUGGACUGUUUUUGACUUAUUUUGUGACUUGUUUGCGGACUGUUUUGAGUAGGUUUCCUUUGAAGUGACCAAUUGAAUGAGGUAAAGCCGUGAAUUUGCGGACAAAUUCCUCUCAAGAUGGAGAGGAUGAUACGAGAAUAAUCAUGGAUAUCAACUUAUGAGAGUGCAUGUUGGACCUGAAUUUGCGGACAAAUUCCUCUCAAGAUGGAGAGGAUGAUACGAGAAUAGUCACGGAUAUGAACUUAUGAGAAUGCAUGUUGGACCCGAGCCUUGGUGUGUGCAAUUGAAAUGUAAAAGAGGCCCAAAAUGCACCAAAAUCGGUCCAUAACUUACACUUGAUGGGCGCCCACUCUUUGAAGGGCCUUUGGGUCAUUUUAACUUAUAUUUUGUAAUAGCUAUAUAAGGAACAUUGUAGGGCUUUUAGACUUAGUUUUUGGAUAUUAUUGUAAGUCAUAAGACACAAGGAACAUCAAGUCCUCUCUCUAAAGAGGCGUGGCCAAAACUAGGGCAAGAUCUAGUGUGGAAUCACUAGUGAUUGCAUUUUGCUUGGAAACAUAGAUGCUAGAGAGGUGGAAUUCGAUCUUGUGUCACGUAAGAGAUAGAUGAAUCAUUGGGUGUGGUGUUAAGGGUCCAAGAGUGGAAUAGGUUCAUAAGUUCUUAAGAUUAUACCUUUGCGUAGUCUAUCUAUCUAUCCUUUGUUUUCAUUGUAAUCUUGUAGUUGUGUUCUUGUUAUUCAAGCCGUGUUGUGUUUUUGUUCCUCAUAUUGUUAGUGUUCAUCCUUGUUAUUCAUAUUGUUGUUGUUAAUAUAGUUUGGGUGACUGAUUUGGUGUUCAAGACACCUUGUUAUUCUUGUCUUAUUAUUGUUCUUGUUGUUUGUUGUUGAAGCCGAGACUUGGUCUCAAGUGUGCUCUUGGUUUCUCAUUCAUUUGUGGACUGUUUUGAGACCGUUUCUUGAGUUUCCAAGUUUUUAUCAUAUCACAUAUUAUGUUUUUUUUUCUUUCUAUUUUAUAUAUUUCAUGUUGCUUCAGUUGUUAGCUUUCCCUAAUAAAUGGAGUGUUUGAUCUCCUACAAUACGCUGAUAUAUGCAUAAAUCCCUAAAAGCUCCAAUAAUACUGGAUGCGUACUGGAGCAAUGUGUGGCUCCUCUAUACUAGACACAAAAAAUCAGGCAACCCAGUAGCCAGUAGGCAUGACCCAUGCCAGUUGCCUCACCUCUUCCAAUACAUUAUUUAUUUGACGGUCCUCUGCCACCAUGGCCAAUGCCAUGCUAAUAAGCUCAUUUGACAAAACGGUCACUUAUCUUUGACAUAGUCAAGAGGUUUUUAGUCCUCGGGUCCAAAAUUUCACUGAUUAUAAUCGACUUAUCUGAAGCCUGUUGCAUCUCCUCUCUCCAGGAGCCUUGGGAGGAGCUACCCCUGUGAAUUUUGGAAACCACAGAUUCUCUGUAUGGCAAGCGUUUGGCCUGCAAAACAAGAAAUAGAUUUCUGAGUGCAUCAUCUGAUGUCACAGCUUAAGGAUCAAAUUUAAAUAGUAUUAAAUCAGCUCAAAAGAGUUUAGAGUGCAUCCGAAGAUAAAAGAAACAGAACAUCUAAAAGUAGUAAGAUUUAGCAAGAUAAUACAAGAAUAUUGUUACUUUCUGAAAUAAAAAUCAUGCAUCUAAAUUAAGCUCUAAGUGGUAGAUGACUGUUUUCCUCGAGAAAUCUUAGAUCUUUGUGGUUAAAUUUGAAAAUAUGCUAAUAGUUCAAUCAGUAAGAGGAUUUCUACAUCCAUUUCUGUAUCCUGUUGAUUAUGUCCUCAGUAUAGUAAAGUAAUAUUGGGGAUCAACAUCAAACUACUGGUUCUGCAAAGGGACGACUCCAAAAUUUGCACAUGAAUGCAGUAAUACUGUUGUGAGAACACAUGCCAGAAGGGAAAAAAAUGCAGGUGUUUGAUGACAAACUUUAUUCUACCAAAUCAGUCAAGAACUACGAGGCUGUCUGAUCGCUUAGACAUGGAAGCAAUGAAAAAAAAACAGAACCUGGUUAAUUAAAGAUACAUUAAGCAGAAAAUUUUAGAGAAAGUGUAAUUUUUCAUGUGUUUGGUAGAGAGCAGAGUAAUAUUGAUACCUGAGGAUUUGAAAAAAGGACAGAUUGUGUCAACUAGUGCAUCAUGUGCAAAUGUUCAGUAAAGACGUGGACUGCCGAUUGAUACAAUUUGGAUUUGGGUGUGGAUUCAUACUGUAUUUAGUCAACCUAACUUGGGAUCUUUGACUUCAUCUAUCACCAAGAUGUUUAGGUUGAUCGGNNNNNNNNNNNNNNNNNNNNNNNNNNNNNNNNNNNNNNNNNNNNNNNNNUAUAUAUACACGUACACAUACAUUAUACAUAUAUAUCAAAUGUGUCCUCAACAAAUUGUUUAUUAUAUGAGAUAACUUAUAUAUAUUCACAUAAAGUACUACAACACUUUGUUGUUACACGAGAUAACUUAUGGAUAAAAUAUUAAUCCCUCCGUUUCAUUGUGUUUUAGUUUGACUGGGCACGAAACUUAAGUAAAUAAGAAUACUUUUGAAUCUUGUGAUCUUAAACUAAAAAUAUGUAUAUUGAACCAAAAAUAUUCUUUGAAUCUUGUGGUCUUAAACAUGCCAUGGAAUCAGAGAGUUACUAACAAUAGAAAGUGACAUUAUUUUCUAUAUAAUAGGCUAAAAAGGAAAGUAAAAACACAUCGUCCUUGUUUAAAGAGAAUUUAAUAAUUCAAUAAUUUGUCAAAAAAUAGACUUCAAAAGCCGUUACAUACAUCUUAUUAGCUGUAUCCAACACCCAAACUUGAACUUCGACCCCUAUCCUCGAAUCCUAAAAUUUAUGUGAUGAAAGAUCCGACCUCUAGAUCCACACCCGUAUCAAAUACCUGCACCAGUAUCUAGGCAACAUACUGGACCACCUCAUCCCAAUUGUCCAGUAACAACUCCACUUGUGUGAGAUUUUGAGAUGGUUUGGGAUGCAAUGAGCAAUGCAGGGCAUAGUGACGGAAGCACCCUUCAACUGAUACUUUUAGAAGAAAAAAAUGGAAGAGCUUGGGAUGUUGCCUUACUAGCACUGUUGUGAAUUUCGUGGAAGGAAAGAAAAUGAGAGCUUUUGAUGGGACAGAGGACUACGUACAUUUGAAGAAUAGUCUCUUAAUUCCUGAUUUCUUUUUGGUGCACCCAUGAGGUUGCUGUGUAUAGAAGAUUGGAUGUAGUUUGUGAAAAUCAUAUGUUAUAUAUUAUAUACUUUUUUGGUAUACUGUUUGUAUAUGGGAAUUUCUAUUAAAAUAAUUUUUUUUACCUUACAAAACUUUUUAGAACAGCAACAUAUCAUAUAUCUAAACAACAUGUGACAUUAAUAGAUGUAAUGGGACACUAAAUUUUCAUAAAUGUGGCACAGAAUAAGAUAUAAAAUAUCCAUUCCACAAUGUACCUGAAUGUCACGUAUUAACAGUAAUGUGGCAAGUGAUCUGGAAUCCGCCUGAAUUGUGGAAUCUUUCACUAAUUCAUCUACCAAAAUUAAGAUCUGUACAUACGAAAAGAAAAUUCAGAACAGUAGUACAAGUUAUAAAAGAAACAAUAUGAACAGGAACACCCCAGAAACUGUUAGGGUUUUGGUCUUAAUUUUCUUACUAUAUUUAAGUUUUAUUUUUUCUUAUAAGAAAAAUAAAAGUUAGCAUAAUUACUUUUACUUUUCUGAAAGAAAAAAUAUAAUUCUUUUUCAUAUUUGGAUAACCUCUUUCUUGGAGGAAAGGUUUUGGAUAUCUAUAAAUAGAAGGCCUCCCUUCUCAUACCAUAACAUAUUAGCAUCUACAAUGUAGUCGUUUAAAGAGUUUCGUUUAGGAAAAAUUUUUCUCUAAUAAUUUUAUGUUUUCUUUUAUAUUAAGUCUUUAUAUGUAGGUUAAUUGGCUAAACUAUAUAGUUUUUAGUAUGUUUUUUUCCGUCUGAUUUAUCGUCUCAAUAGUUUGCAACUAAUAGCUUCCGCAUGACACCCUCUCGAUUUUGAACCCAACAAGUGGUAUCAGAGCUUAUGGUCCAAUGGUGUGGUGAGACGAGAUUAAACAGGUUUAAAGUGGUUUCAAAAUCAAGCUGCAACAAUUUGGAUGAUAAUAAAGAUUUUUGUCGAACUACAUGUGGAGAACAAAUUUCAACCAUAUUUUCAACACUCCUGCUACUGCAUCUUUAAAAAUAAAAAUAAAAUAUUACUUUUAAACCAAUUUUUAACCAUGAUAUUUACUUUUAACCAUGGCAAGUACAGUUAUGAAGAUUAUAUCAAGAACGAAGUUCAUGCACGUGAUAUGAAGAGAAGACGGAUCAAGUGAAGAAAAUUAAGCCAAAAAGGGGAGAUUUGUUAGGGUUUUUGUCCUGAUUUUCUUACUAUAUUUAAGUUUUAUUUUAUCUUAGAAGGAAAAUAAAAGUUAUCAUAAUUACUUUUACUUUUUCAUUCUUACUAUAUUUAAAUUUUAUUUUUUUAAAUUUUAUUUUUUCUUAGAAUGAAAAGAAAAAUUAUCAUAAUUACUUUUAUUUUUCCUGAAAGAAAAAAAUAUAAUUCUUUUUCAUAUUUAGUUAACCUCUUUCUUGAAGGAAAGAUUUUGGACAUUUAUAAAUAGAAGAUACCCCUUCUCAUACCAUAAUAUAAUAACAUCCACAAUGUAGUCGUUUAAAGAGUUUUGUUUAGGGAAAAUUUUCUCUCUAAUAGUUUUAUAUUUUCUUUUAUAUUAGAUUUUUAUAUGUAGGUCAAUUGGUCAAACUAUAUAAUCAUGUUUUUAGUAUGUUUUUCUUUUCGUCUGAUUUAUUAUCUCAAUAGUUUGCAACUAAUAGUUUCCGCAUGACGCCCUCUCGAUUUCCAACCCAACAGAAACCCCAUCCCAUUCCCCCAUCUGAGCGUUGUUAACAUCAGAACACACUUACUUUAUAUUUUACCUAAAGUGCAUCUGUUUUGCAUAUUUAGUGAAUCUUACUCACCGAGUCAAAUGAUUCCGAGGGAAGACUUUCUAGAUGGCGGCGUAUAACAUCAUUGCCCUCGCGGUUUACCAGUAUUAUGUUUGCCAGCUGGCUAAUAUCCAGGCCACCAUCUGUUAGCUUCUUUUCUCUUUCCUUCUCGGAGACUUAAUUGAACAUCCACAACUUUGAACCAUGAGCUAUGAAGGCAUCCAAUACCUAGAAUGAGUAGCUGAGUUUGUUGGAGUUACAGAGCAUCAUUUUUUCAAAAAUUGUUCAGAUCUUAAAUACUUUGUACUUUCUGGGCUUCUUUCAUCAUUCUCUGGAACUGAGAGAUGGAAUGAGAAAAUAUUCAGAAAUCAGAAAACCUGGAAGCAUAUAUAAGCAUAUAUAUAGGCUGAGGAAGAGGUGGGAAGAUACAGAAAACAAGCAAGAAAUCUCUAUCCCCAUAGUCUAUAGAGAAAAGCUUGCGUGAGUAAGGAAAACAUACAGCUGGCUCCUCACAAGAUUACCAGUAUCAUAUCCUCCAUAUCUCGUCGCCAACCACAAAAAUGAAUCCGCUCUGUAGUCUUUGGAGUAAUUAAGUUCUUUGGCAAGUUUCCUCUCUGAACCUGCAACAUUCAGGUAAAAUGAAAAGGAAUUAGGAACUUUGAUUCAAACUCACCACAAUCAUAUCAUCAAUGUCUCGUCUCCAUCCAGUUAGUAGAAUCUUCUGUGGCUUUCUUGUUGGUCGGACAAUGUGCAUCAAAGAUGCUUCUUUGACCUGAAUAACCAAAUUAAUUAUACCUUAGAAAGUCUAUUAAUGCCACGUUCUGCUUGCUUGAAUUCCAUGCCUAGAAUCCCUCAAUUGCGAAGCAGAAGAGGAUCUCCUUCAUGUGAUCCACUAAAUGUUGAAGUCAUCGAGUUUUUUUAUUCCAUUUAUUAAGACUUUUAAUGGUUAUCAUGAAUCUAAUAAAAGAUUUUUUGUGUCCUUUGAGAGGUUGUGAGGUUGGCAUUAAUAAUUUUUACUUGCAAAUAUCCAAACUCAAUUAUCUCUGCAGUAUGAAAAUUUACAAUCUAAUAUAAAUUUGUUCAAUUUUUUUUUAUAACUGUGGUGUCCAGUCCAGUUUGCGCUCAUCUCGACUAAUUCCACAGUAUACCUGUUACCUCCUACCAGCACCAGGUACUAGGCAACUCUAUCCACCAAGGCACACCCACCAAACUCAAUUAUCUCUGCAGUAUGAAAAUUUAUAAUCUAAUAUAAAUCUGUUCAAUUUCUUUUUUGAUAACUGUGGUGUCCGGUCCAGCUUGCGCUCAUCGGAACUAAUUGUCCACCAAGGCAAGAAUAGAUGAGAAGAAAUCACCUGGUGUUUGUCUGUCUUUGUUGGGAAUUGAACCUUAGACCUCCUUGUGCUCAACCCAACUUCAUUGAACCAUUAGGCCACACACUUGGGUGCUUAAAUUUGUUCAAUUUUCAUGACCUAUAUUAUAUUGAUCAUAAUAAAUAUCGAAUGCAGUUCAUAUGCUCCAAAUAGAAGCCGAGAAAAAAGGUUCUCGACAGUAUCUAAAGCUUAAUUUAGACCGAAGUCAACCAAUUUAUCUUAUUGAUGAAUAUACUCUUAAAGAAUUGUAUAACUUUGUGAUGUAUUGACUUUUUCAUCAGCGUUAUAAUAUGUGAUUUGGGUUCACUACAUUUUCAAGCAGAGAAACAAGAGAAUAUAGCUAUCUUAAGAAAAGGGGAAGCACCAUAGGCAGUGCUGUUGGAGCAUACGAGUCAUCAUCCUCGGCAAUAACAAGGACUUCAUCUCCUUCUUGCAACACAUAGGAGUCAUCGGGAUUCAGUAUUAUUUUCCCACCUGAUGAUGCCACCUUGACUCCGCAAGGAAUAGCAUCAGGAAAGCUGAUUAGGACUUCUUCAAAUUGCAUGCCAUGCAACUAUGGCCAUUUCUUGAUGUAGAGCUCACAAUUCUCAAAUCCAAGGAUGUCUUCCCAUAUCUGCCAUUGCCAAGUCCAUAGAGAAAUAAAUUAGAUUCAUGACAUUGAUAUACUUCCCUCUUCUACUGAAUGUAGUAGCUACGAUUGAAUUAAGUAUCAGUCACCAUACAAAGUUGAUCAAAGCUAAAAGUUGACUUGCGCAAGACCUGGCUGUCGAGCACAUUGAAUCAUUAAGCGCCCAAUUACAUCAUGAGCUACCACUGUUUCAACAAGAUCUCCACCAACUAGCUUCACAAGGACCUCAUUAUCAAGAUCACUGAGUUCAACCACUAGGUGGCCCCGAAGUCCUUCCUUUACUUCUGUAAGGCUUAAAACUGUCCUUAGAGCACGGGCAUCACUCUACAUUAAUUUUUUUUGUAUAUUAGGAACUACAGUUUUGAAUCCUAAAAAUGAGUUGCUUAAAAUAUCUAUUGAUCUGACCUGGUCAGCAUUCCCAUCUUCAGCGAGGACAACUAUUGCACGAGCCUUAGAGACAGACACCUACUACAAAUUUACCCAAUGAGCUCAAAAGAUUAUUUAACUUACAAAUUCUGGACAACUUCAGGAACCUUUAUUAAACAAUCAACACGAGACAAGAAGUGUCCUUUGAUGAGAAGCUGUUUAAAAUCAGAAAAGAGAAACUCUAGCGAAAUUUCACGAUAAAGCAUUGCAUGAUAGAAUCAGAUCUCUGGAAGGAAAAUGGCAUUCAAUACAAUGAUAAGAAAGGAAAGAAAGGUUUUUGAUGACAUAAUAAAUGUUUGGAAGCAAAAAAUAAUGCAUACCUUUUUCAGGUCAGCCAAAAUCAAGGGGCUUCCACUUCUGCAUAUGACAGAAAUUCCUCUAAAAUCAAACUACAUUUUAGUAAUAUCAAGUUCCAUCUCUUCUUUAUCUCGCUCAGCCAUGACUACAACAGUUCCCCCCCACCAAACUCUCAUUAGCUAUUGCGAGUUGAUUCAAUAACGAUCCCUGAGUAUACAGAUAUAUUAUUAGUGAAUGAGACCAUUACUUCUUUCGAAUCACUUUAAGUUGCCCAAAAAAUACAGAGUUAUACUAAGAAAUCUCCAGCAAACAUUAGUAAACCUCAGCUGCAUUAUGUAUAUUUUAAGUGUUUAUUUAUUUAUUUUGUAAACUAAACCAAUUUUUAAAAAAUAUUUAAGUUUUUUGCAAGGCCAAGUAGUCAAAGCUCAACAAUUUUUAUCAAUUGUGUUCCAAUUCCUUACAUAAUGAAGCCUGUUUUCCUAGUCAAUCUUGUUAUUUUCAUGGAGCAUGGUAAAUAAUUGGGAAGGGCUUAGAACAAUUGAUAAAAGAUAGCAUCAAUCUACUUGGCAGACAAAUAGGUAAUAAAAAGUUAAUGUAGUUCUUCUGAUUCUACCACACUCAAUUGACAAUUACAGAAAGAAAAGAAUACCUCAAAGGUUUGGAGCUUCUCUCAUUUUCUUGGAGUAAUGAUAGGGGAAAUCUUAAGUAAAAUUAGAGAGAGCUUCUGAGCUAUGCAAAAAUAAGAAAUACCAUACUAGGAGGAUUGCUAUUCCGAUCUGGUGCUAAAAUUAGUCAGCAGUUUGAGGGCAGUUAUCUAGAUAAAGGAAAAUGAACGCCGAUCAUUUGAACAUAUGAGCUUGUGAAAGAACAAACUCUAGCUAAUUAGAAGGACCCACCAGUUUAUCACUCCAACCAAUUAUAAGUGUAUGGUUCUGCUCAACUACUUCACUUCUUCCCUUCCUGAGUGAAUCAAAUUUCUCAGAGAUUGCAUCAAAAACUAGCCCGAGCAUCAUGGCAAAUAUCAGCAUUCCACCAAAACUAACAGAAACUGACACUAGGCGUGGACCAAUGCCUUCAGAAUUAGCAUGAUUUCCUGAAUCUGCAACAUAAGUCCAUGAUAACCAAAGGCAAUUUGCUAUGCUAUCAUCUAUCACGCCAAAAAGUGCUAAGCCACCAAGAAAAAUAAGGAGCAGAGUGGCAACUAACAAGGCCAGUGGUUUAGCAUAAGGAUAAAAUAAUAAGAAUACAUCUACCCGGUAAGCUAGCUACUUGUUCAGAGAUAAUUCUUCUGUGGUACAGUCCGACGGUCUUCUAACAUUAGAGAUAUACUCCAUAUAUUUAAUAAAAACAAGAGGAAGGGACAAGAUCACGAGUGAGAGAAUCAAUGCUGUAGUUUUCAAACUUACACCAGAAAUAUUCUGCUUUGACAUUGAGUCAAUAAUGUCAAUAGAAUCUGAAAUGUUGCAGCGUCUCAGUCUGAUAUUGAGCUUUGAAGCUCAUCCUGAUAUAACGGGAAGGAAAGGAGAAACAGGUAAGUAAUUUAGGGACAGAUCUAGUAAUAUCUUGCAUACAUGUUAGUCAAAUUCUACUUCUCAAAAGCCCAGAAUUGUUGCAUCAAUAUAAAUGUAAUGUUGCACACUUUUAAGUUUACUAAUAACUAAAGAAGAUGAAGGCAAUAUAUUACUACAGUUCCUCAUCAUGAAUAUUACUUGAAUGAUCUUGGAAGAUGAUCUGGAAAAUAAGAGCUCAACCUUAUGUAGAUAGUUCAAAGAGUCUUACUUUUUAUUUAUUUUUUGAGAAGGUUUUAGUUCAAGAGUAUUAUUUGACACAAUUAUACUUACAAAGAAGGUCAAUGAAGGAAUGAUUACCAAUAAACACCGAGAACUCCUCUAUAGAUCUUCAUAUCACCCUGUAUCCGUCCCUCUCUUCAGGAUACCGAAUAGUACUAAAAUCACCUCUAAGUACCCCUGGAAUGUCCCACUCUCCCAUAAUAGUUUUCAUCUCAUCCCAAAAAAAUUUCCUUUAACCCUUCUCUUUCUUUCCUUGCAUAAAUUAUAGUUUCCUCUUGUCUCAUAGUUAAAAAAAAUCCCUCAACAUUCCUGCGAUCUGGAAUAAACUCAUAUCUCACUCAUCUACCUCCCACAAACUUCUUACAAUAGCAUCUGGCAGCCCUACUUUUUCAGUUUCUUGAAAACAUAUAAGAUUGCCCUCAACCCCUUAAACUCACCUUUAUGGUUGCCCUUUUAUUAGGGCCAUUCAACCCCCUCACAUUCCCACGAAAUAAUUUUACUAUCCAUAAACAAUAUCUAUAUCCUUAUCCCCCCUCCCCAAUCAUCUCUCCACCACCCAACUUCUUCCCCUUGCCCUUUAUCCACAUCUCUCACUCUCCACCUUGCCUCCUCUUAUACACUGCAAUUUACCCAUCUCAUGUUGCCCUUCCCCUAUCUUUUUCUCAUUCCCUGCCCUAACCUCACCCCUUUCAACCCUACUAAAAUUUCUUGCUUCUCUUUCAAUUGUCAAUAAACAGCUCUAAUAUUCUCUCUUCCUCCUCCUCCCCCCCAAACCAAAGGAAAAACCCACAAAUUCCCCCAGCUACUCCAUUAAUCUCCUCUCCUCCUCAGUAAUUGUUAACAGUAAGGCAUCUUCCUCCAUUAUCAUCCUCCCGACCCCAUUAUCAUAUUGUCGGGCAUCAACAUACAUUUCUAAACACUUUCUUCAAAUAGAAAAAAUAGAGGAAGAGUUUACCACUUCUAGGACUCUUUCUCUAAAACAACUAUAAAAAGAUUACUCAUUCAAGACAUUUACAGUAGUGCUGGUAGUAACUAUGCACUUCUCUAGCCCCGACAAGCUAACAAUAGGGACCUGGCAACAAAACCUGUUGUGACUGAACUACGUCAUUUUUUGAGUCAAAAGUAGGUUCCUAAUCCUCAUUAAUGAUUCCAAGACUCAACCAACACCUCUACGCAUUUUUCUGACUUGUAAGUGUAUUGAACUAUUUGCUACUUCAACAACCAAGCUAUUUUCCAACAACCAAAAUAGGCCAAAACAAACACAAUAUUUCCUUUAAAACCAGAUUAACUUAUUAAGAAACUUCAUAAGUAGGAGUAGUACAAACCAACCUUAGAAAAAAGAAACUAAAAUGCAUAUAGGAUGUUUAAGAAAAGUGGAGUCAACAAAAAAACCAUUUUAACUUCUCAAAUAAGAAUGAUUACGUAUAAAAUGGGACAAACAUAACCAUAUGAUCAUUAUAGUAUUUUAACCUUUAGAGGAAAUAAUAAUUUUAUGGUCACAGUAAUCAAUGUAACGUAACUUAAAUUUCCUAACACCUUAAAUACAUACAUAAUUAUAAGAGAUAAUAAAUAUUGAUAUUAUAAGUUACCUGCAAAUCGCUAAUUUGACUGUGUAAAGAAAAGUUUUUUUGUACAAGAGAUGUAAAGCAAGUCACCAGUACCUGCAACCAAAAUAUAGCAAAACCAUAAUUUAAUGAUUCAGAAUGUAUUAAGGUGGCAUUUAGUUUGAGAAAUGUUGAAACAACUAACUGAAAAAAGAUUUUGAUAAAAUUCAAAAAAGCUAUUGAAUCUUAUCUAAAGGCUUAAUACAUAGUUUCUCGCCUGAACUUGUAGCCAAAUCCCUUCAACACGCCCUUCCAUCAUGGAAAACGUCUUACACACCAAGUGUUUACGAAGUGCUUCUACUACACACCACUUUAGUUAUGUGUCAUUCAUGUAUCCAACUUCUUUAUUUUUUGCAUUUUAUAAUUUUUCCUUUUUACCAUUUCACACCAAUUUUAAAAAACAAAUUACAAAGCCCUCAUACUUAGUUUUCUUUCCUACCCCACCCUCCUAUAUGACUUCUUCCCUGCCCAACCUUUUCCCCAUAUGUGUCUAGACCUGUCAAAAUAGGCUUAGCCACCGAGGCCGACCCAACCCAGCCCUUUAAUUAAGUGGGAUUGCGCUAAGUUUUUGUGGCUAAUUUAGGAGUGAGACUUUUAGGCCUCACCUCACUAGGCCAUCAACCUCAGAGGCCUAACGCAUGAGCCUCAAAGGCCAGCCCGUGAAUUUAAAAAAUGUUUAAUUUAUUUAUUUGUUUACCAAAUAAAAAAUCCAAAAUAAUUAAACAAGGUAAAACAAAAACUAAAAAGAAUUACAAAGGACAUUUCUAGUAGACUGUAGUAAUUAAGUAUUCAGCCAAUAGUCAUCAGUAAUAUAAUGUAUAACAUGAAUAUAUUAUUUUAUAUAUGAUAUAUCAUAUUCAUAUAUACAUAUUCGUGGCCCUUUGGUCUUCUGAAUUCUCUUUGCUCAUAAGCAGCAUGAAAAGUUAGGGCUAGCUAUUUUUUAUUCUUCAUUUGGUUGAUAUUAAUUAUCAUCGUAUAAUGAAGACUUAUAUGGUUGGUGAAUUUCUAUAAAUAACGCUUCAUUUCAUUAUCAUGUUACGGGUUACUUUAAUUUUUGUUGAAGGGCCAAUCCCUACUAACCCACGCCUGAGGGCUGGGUUGGGCUGCUAUAUUUUAAAGGCCCUUUAGUUAAAAGGGCCGUCCAUCCUAACCUAUUUAACUCUCUAGCCCACUGAGGCUGGGUUAGGCCAGCCCAUUUAAACAGUUCUAUUUGUGUCGUCUUCACCGCUCCCUUUAUUUUUUUAUCUAACCCUCUCCCCCAUUCUUGUCUCCUCCCUUACCCCCAAACCCCGUGCCAGUUUUGUCUUCUUCCUUUCUGCAACCCCCUCCCCUUUUGAUUUAUUUUCUCCCCCAUCAUUGCUCCAGUUUAUAGUUAAACCUCUCCGACUUGUCCUUUUUUCUCGAUAUGAUUAGAUUUCUAAAGAGCCUAAUCAUAAGAGGUGUAAUAGUAGCAGUUGUUAGGGGCUCAGCCCUUUAACUCAAAAAUGGCAUGGUGUCGACAAUGCAUUGUCAUGGAUAACCUUGUUAUGGGUUUAUGUGUGGGACGAGUCAAUCAUGUGGGUAAUGUAGGCGCCAUUACCAAUUUGACAACAAACCCACAAAUUAGUGCGUCGGCCAUGGCACGACAUGGACGCUGGGUGGCACGAGUAGUGGCAUGUGUCAAGGUUAUAUCAGGAGUGGGCAAAUCAAGGCGAACAUAUGGCAAAGGCUAAAGAAAACAACGACAAGGUAACGCAAGACGAACUCUCCAAAAUGGUACGAGGAAAACAAGAGUUGGCAUGACAAAAGCAAAAUGCAACCAAGAUAUGAGGCGAGAUGACAGUGCAUUGGCGGUGAGCGUGUGUAGAAACAUCAGAGGCGACAUAUGUUCAAAGAGUGGGAAACAGUGUGAAAUGAAUAGAAAAAAUUGGGUUGAUAAAAAAUAAUGUACGUUCCAUAUUCUUGUGUUGUAUUUGUAUUAAUUACAUUAUAUAUAGUCUUCUCAUUUUGGAUUAAUUGAACUUUCAACAUGAAUAUUUUACUACUGUGUUUUCUUUUCAUUUUUGAUUUUAUAAUGUGUUACUUGACUCACAAGUGGCGCCAAAGCCGACCUUGAGUAUGUGGAGCU
This 37749-nucleotide long non-coding RNA is filed under the name Capsicum annuum. RNAcentral's name for it is "long non-coding RNA (CANN_LNC005195)". The record is from RNAcentral. Lineage: Eukaryota; Viridiplantae; Streptophyta; Magnoliopsida; Solanales; Solanaceae.